This is a long non-coding RNA of Hyalella azteca, 1358 nucleotides long. RefSeq lists it as uncharacterized. Lineage: Eukaryota; Metazoa; Arthropoda; Malacostraca; Amphipoda; Hyalellidae. The record is from RefSeq and is a predicted model, not a curated record. The transcript is spliced from 2 exons.
CUGCUAACACUUGCCUGCCUCUCAGGCCAGUGUCUUGGGACUGACGCCGCUGUGUCCGCCGACGUCCUCCGUUACGUCUUCGGUGCUCGUGCUGCAGACUGACGCGCCCACCGCGCGCCGCGUGUGCUCGGUGCUGGAGACGGCGGUUGCCCACGCCAGAGCUCCCCACCACGCGCGCCUUGCCACCGCCUUGUCCUAGGCAGCCACCGAGGGAUAUAGGCCACUUGGAACGUGGCGCGUGGGGGCGCGAACCACGUGUGUGGCGAUCGUGCUGUGUGGCAAGCAGGGUGCUGGUGCUGCUGUGUGGCAAGCAGGGUGCUGGUGCUGCUGUGUGGCAAGCAGGGUGCUGGUGCAGGUAGUAGUGCUUUGGGGUGGCCACGAUUACUGGCAGUCGUUAAAUGAUAUGCAAAUGAAGAAAUGUGCAUUGUAAUACUGAAAUAGACGUUAACAGUAUGUUAUUGUAAUAGCUAACCUGCGAGGAGUAACAUUUAUUUCAAAUUGCUUACCAAUAACUGUAGUCCUGUUAAUAUCAUCGAGAAGCUAUAUAUUUUUUAAUAUAUACAUGCUGUCUGUGUUUAUAUACAGCUGUCGGGAAAUAUACAAUUGCGUUUUUGGACGAAAUGUGGAAUUGACUGCCUGAUCUUUGCCUUAUGUUAUUUCUCUGUUAGAAUCUUGUAUCAUAUUGACAACUUCAUCAGCUGGGGAAUCGAUUCUUGCAAGACCUUACACAGUUACAUGAGCUGCUUUGAGGCCGGCACUGUCUGCCUUGAUGUGAGGUCACUGCCGCAGGAAUGAUUUUGAAAGCCCAAGAAUAAUGACAAUUGAAAAAUCUGCGCUUCUGGGUCAUAAUGCUAUGCAAGACUGCUACUAUAAGCUUACCUACAUUUUUUAUUCAUUUUGUGAGCAGGAACUAAAGUAUUAGUGAUGGUGUAACUGUACUGUCGACCAAUGCUAGUUCAAUGUUGAUUUAAAUUGUGUACCAAAGAUGGCAACCAAAGUAACUAGAUGCAGCAUUUUGGACUAUUAGGUUGCAAGAACACGUCAAUCGCUUCAAAAUAUGUGGAACAUUUUUCGCAGAGCAGCCUCUGGAAUCUUGAAACUUGGCUUGAAUAUGCCUAUUAGAAAUGAGCUGAAAAUUGCUGGUAGGUAUUCCAUUAUGUUUUAAAUUAAUUUGAAUAUGGAAGAAAUAUGUAGGAAGCUGUAAAUAUUGAAUAACAUGUUACAUCCAACGUGCCCAUUAAUAGUCAUCGAGCAAUAAAUAUAUUUUAUACUCACACGAGACCUAAGUAAGUCGCACACAAUUCCACCAUUUCAUUGUAGGGAUAAAAUCAUGCCAACUCGGUCAUUCAUCCAAUUCU